CAAGGGGAUGGGUGAGGAUUGACUGGUGCGUAGGGAAGCUGGAAAUAUGUUACAAGGAAAACUUGGUUAAGGACUGACAGUGGGAGAGGAAUGUUAAAGUUUAUGAUUCUUUACCAAGGUAUUUCCAACAACUACAAAUAUACAGUAAUUCUUUUUAAUUUUAGCUGUAUGUCCUAUUUUAUCCAGAAAAUGCUGCCUAAUAUGGUGUUAUAAAUUUUAAAAAUUUCACAUAUAACAAUUAAAAAUGGAAGAUUUUAAUUUUUAUUAAAUAAAAAUUGGCCUGUAGCACUCCAGUUGUAAGGGUGCUUUUUAAGCCUACAAACAUGUCAACAGUCUGAAAUCGGAGCUCACUCUAUAAAUUUACACUACUGCCCAUUUCCUAUUGUGUGUGUGUUGUGCCUAUUUCCCUUGUUUGAAGCUAAUCCCAGGUACGUCAGUCUUAAGAGUGAGCAAUCGAUUAUAAUUCUACACAUAAAUAAAAUUCAGUGCUUUUCUUAAAGAUAAUUUGUCAUUUCCAUAGUAAAAUAUAUGAACAUUAUAUUUUAAUGACUUUAUCCAAAGAAGUUCUUCACUUUUUAUAUGUGCUGUCUUGGGCUAAAAGGAAAAGUUGUACUUGUGGUGAUACAUGUAGUCUAAAUGUUUAGCUUCAAGGAUUAGUUACUGUCUCUGGAUGUGAGCAUAGUCACCUUGUUCCGCAGCAUACUUCUGCUCCUGUAAAGCAGUAGGAUGCAAGUAGAUUCUGUUAGGCUGGGAAGCACGGAGGGUAAUGCGAUGUUAAGUUCAUUAGAUCAGUCCUGUAACCAUGUUCUGAUGCUUCAUGUCCUCUCGUUUUGUUUUGUUCUUGUGUGUCACAUUCGAAAGCUUUGGUUUUCCGUGGAAGUAUUAAUAGCUGCUCCUUAUUAAUUCAGGGUACCAGUUACAUUGAGUCUUCGAAAUGCUAGAAACAACCCUCUACAUUUGUUUCCUCUCAUGAAAAUUGUAUUAUUCAGAACAUUCUCUAACUCUGAAAUUUCUUUGUUACUUUUCUAACUUCCAAUAAUGUUCCUGAAUAAAUCUAGAUCUUUUAUCUAGUAUCUGGGUAGUAUAGUACAGCUGGUGUAAAAUUCCAGUUAUUCCAUAAGUGGUUUAUUAUUGUAAGUGAAUCAUGGUUUUAUGUUCUAGAUGUUUAAUUGACCACUUUUGCAUUUAGUUUUGGGAUAAAUUUUCAUCUCAAGCUAUCUAUUGUUUUUGUUCAGAGGUCUACAAAUACUCAGAGUAUGGAAGACAUAUAUAUUGUUUUAAGUUUUGAAUAUGACAUUUAUUCUAAUUGUUCAUUGCCGCAUUCUUUAGCUGACACAGUUCAGAUAGGUUUUGUUUUUUGUCUUAAUUAUGUUUCUAGAAAGGAUGUUCAAAGAAGUCUUGCUUCUGUCGAUUGUCCCCGUUUUCUUGGGAAAUUUUAUUAUGUUUCUUCUUCCAAGGAGGAUAUUUUAGAUGGAAUCAGACAGCUAUUGGCUGAUUAUUUGUGUCUGAGUUUUUAAUGUAUUUGCUGUAAGAUUGUACGUCGUGUGUGAUGUCAAUGAAGUGCUAGUGAAACAGGUUAGAAUCAUCGGCAGAACUGUUUGCAUGACCUCCAAGUUCCUCCCUUCACAUGUUGUUUACUUUCAUACAGGUCCUCAUGCUGACACCGCCAGUGGAUGCCAGAAUUUGCAGUGUGGUUUUCGAGCCUGCUGCCGCUCUGGCGAAUGACCCUUGACUUCUGACCUUUGUCUACUUCAUUUAGCUGAGCAGGCUUCCUUUCAUGCACUUUACUUAUAGCACAUUUCUUGUGUUAACCCAUUUUGGGUGUGUCUUGUUUUGGCCCCAUUUCUUACAGUCUCAGAAAUUUAAUUUAGCAGUGAACUGUACAAUGUUGUUUUUCUUUGCAAAAUAUAUUUUUGUUUUAGAAAAGGAUUAGGAUUUUUUGUUAGGGUGAGAACAGUCUUUCUGGUUUCUUUUAAAUGAAAUGCUUUAAAAAGAAUAGCACUAAUACCAUGCUAUUUAAAAUAUUUUUAGAUUAUUUACAUUUUAGUCAAUGGGGGUUAUUGGUUCUCUUAUGUGUAAACACUGUACCAAGUUUUGCAGCUCCUUUCAAAUAUACAUUUCUGAAGAUUUAUUUUCAAAGUCUGAACAUUUUAGAAAUGAAUCUCUUUUCCCCUAAUGUUUUCUUUAUUUCAACAAUUCUCAGGGGCCAAUUCAAACACACUUAGAAGCGAGAUUCUUUAAGAUUAUAGAAUAAGUUGGCCUCUUGGUGCCGGCCCAGUGAGCCAGCAGAACAGCAGUCUGUUUCUAUUGCUGUAGACACCUGCUUCCACGGCUGUCCCUAAACUGUUGAAUUCGGGAGGUAUUUUUAAAAAUUCCACAAUUGUUUGAAGAAAUGUAUAAAUAAAAUCUACUUUGAGAACUUUACCAAGCAA
RNAcentral lists this long non-coding RNA (2432 nucleotides) under Rattus norvegicus (Norway rat). RNAcentral's name for it is "long non-coding RNA NONRATT009423". The record is from RNAcentral. Lineage: Eukaryota; Metazoa; Chordata; Mammalia; Rodentia; Muridae.